Molecule: transfer RNA, 542 nt
Filed under: uncultured cyanobacterium
Lineage: Bacteria; Bacillati; Cyanobacteriota
Description: partial miscellaneous RNA
Rfam family: tRNA (bases 212-284)
Source: RNAcentral
CAGGGAGACAACAAAAUGUUUAAUAUUAUUAUUUUGUCACCUUAGGUCGAUCGGUAUCUCACGUUUUUAAUUUAUUAAAAAUUUCAUUUCCUAAGUUUUUCUAGGUCACACCCAUUAUUUUUCCUGGGCCAUUAGCUCAGGUGGUUAGAGCGCACCCCUGAUAAGGGUGAGGUCCCUGGUUCAAGUCCAGGAUGGCCCAUAUCUCUAUGUUGGGGGUAUAGCUCAGUUGGUAGAGCGCCUGCUUUGCAAGCAGGAUGUCAGCGGUUCGAGUCCGCUUACCUCCACUGAUUACCACCUCUUCCAUAACCGGUAGAAAGGAAAUGUUUUGAGUUGUGAUCAUUAUUCUGAACGAAUCUAGCUUCCUAAUGAAAUCAUUAAGAUGCUGGACUCAUUGAAUUAAUUUCAUUGUUUUCAGAGAACCUUGACAACUGCAUAGAUUAUUUUUAAAGACAAUAAGCAUCUUUAAUGAUGCAGAUUUAUUAUUUGUGCGAAUGCAUUAAUAACAAUUCUAUUAAGCUGAUGCUUCAAUUAUUGAAGUUAUU